UGGGCAUCUUUGUACCCCUAAUUCUACUCCAGAUACUUGUCCAUUUUUACCUCUCAUCUCACUCUUUUUCUUUAUUUGUCGAGGUUCCGGGCACUUGCCCCUUUUUAUUUCCUCGCAUAUUUUUGUAUAACCCAUGCCUCUUCUGCACUGAAUCUUUUUUAGAGAGAGAGAAUAACAAUACUUGGGACAGUGAGUGAUAAUUUUUUUAGCAAUUUUAAUGGAUGGUGGUGGAUGAUGUAGUAGAUGUGUGCAAGUGAGU
This 259-nucleotide long non-coding RNA is filed under the name Sorghum bicolor (sorghum). RNAcentral describes it as "long non-coding RNA (SBIC_LNC015955)". The record is from RNAcentral. Lineage: Eukaryota; Viridiplantae; Streptophyta; Magnoliopsida; Poales; Poaceae.